GUAGACACUAGCACUUUGCCAAUGGGUGUUGACAGUGUCGAGUGUUGACAGGCGGGCUUCUGAUCUGCUGUACCAAACACUGUCAUUCCAUGUCACAAUGCCAGUAAUUGUCCCAUGUACAUAUCUUACUCACAGGGAUUGUAUCACUGUUAGCCCUGAGUCUGAUUUGCUGACCCUCAAUCUUGACCAGAGGCCCAUAACCCAUCAAUCAUUCUGAUCACCUAUUGAUGGCAGUGUAUGAACACACUUGUGCUGAGGGAAUGAGGAAUACAAAUGUACACUUUCCAUCUUAUGAUGUGGUACAGAGCCUAACAUUUGAAUGUUGUAAUAAUCCAAUUCUAAACAUAUUCAUUAAUUCAAUAUUGCAGAAAAUUCUGAUUAUCCAAUUUAUGUAAGGGAAAAAGCUGAUAAAUUUAUUAAUUGUUAUGCUUAAAUUUUAUUUUUUUCUCCUUCCUGAAUGGAAAUUUUAAAAAAAAUCAACCUUGUUAAACUGAAUUUGCAUCUAUAUAAUGUUGAAUGAAAAAAAAAUGUUGCUUCUGGGUUAAUAAAAAAUAUUAGAGUGUU
Ostrea edulis (European flat oyster) is the source of this 564-nucleotide long non-coding RNA. RefSeq lists it as uncharacterized. The record is from RefSeq and is a predicted model, not a curated record. Lineage: Eukaryota; Metazoa; Mollusca; Bivalvia; Ostreida; Ostreidae. The transcript is spliced from 2 exons.